This 463-nucleotide ribosomal RNA is filed under the name uncultured bacterium. Its description in RNAcentral is "partial 16S ribosomal RNA". It matches the Rfam family "Bacterial small subunit ribosomal RNA", at positions 30 to 507 of the family's 1533-position model. The record is from RNAcentral.
CGAACGCUGGCGGCGUGCUUAACACAUGCACGUCGAACGGAAAGGCCCUGCUUGCAGGGUACUCGAGUGGCGAACGGGUGAGUAACACGUGGGUGAUCUGCCCUGCACUUCGGGAUAAGCCUGGGAAACUGGGUCUAAUACCGGAUAGGAGCCAUUUUUAGUGUGAUGGUUGGAAAGUUUUUUCGGUGUAGGAUGAGCUCGCGGCCUAUCAGCUUGUUGGUGGGGUAAUGGCCUACCAAGGCGGCGACGGGUAGCCGGCCUGAGAGGGUGGACGGCCACAUUGGGACUGAGAUACGGCCCAGACUCCUACGGGAGGCAGCAGUGGGGAAUAUUGCACAAUGGGCGCAAGCCUGAUGCAGCGACGCCGCGUGGGGGAUGACGGCCUUCGGGUUGUAAACUCCUUUCGCUAGGGACGAAGCUUUUUGUGACGGUACCUAGAGAAGAAGCACCGGCUAACUACGUG